Molecule: long non-coding RNA, 4630 nt
Filed under: Paramuricea clavata
Lineage: Eukaryota; Metazoa; Cnidaria; Anthozoa; Malacalcyonacea; Plexauridae
Rfam family: tRNA (bases 1828-1900)
Source: RNAcentral
GCAAUGUUAAUGUUUGGUAAUAAUUGAAGGCUACGCAAAUGCACAAAAGUUUAAAAGCUAAAGUGAAACAAGGUGAGUUGAAUGGUGAUUUGAAUCAAUGUUCUUUUCUGUAGUUCUCAUCAAUAUCAACAUGUUAAAACAUGGAGUUCUUUUUUCAAAUAAAUUAUUUAAUUGUAGUAUAUAUUCAUUUUGAAAUCAGUGGCGUUCUUGCAAUCUGAUUAGCCAAAAAUAAUGUGAUUAUAAAUUUCGAAAUUGCGCCAUUUUGAGUAAUAAUUGCAUCUCUUGAGCUACAACUGCAUGAUCUCUUCAUUCUCUUGUAACUGCAUGCUGACAUGCACCAGACUGGAAAUUGAACAUCAAAACUAUGUGCACAGCGGUUUUGAUGUUUCCAAUCAAUCUUGUUCCCCGAGCCUGUGAUCCUCAGGAAGGAACGUGAGGCUCUGGGAUAAUCCGUUGCCGGAAGUCAGGAAUCCUGGCUAAGAUUGAACUGUGCAUUCCAUUUCAACGGCCAUCCAGAUUAAAACGUUCCAUCUGGGACUGUCCCGGGUUUGGACUAUGUUGUCCCGGUUUUCUUCUUGUUGUCCCGGUUUCUGUAGUAUUUUAAUAGUUUUAUUCUUCAAAUAAGGCUAAUGUGACAAAUAUUAAUGAAAUUCGUUUGGUUCAAUACAUAUUAAUGAAAUGGGAGCUUCUAGUUGCCCCGAACAAUUGCAGAGUUUGUCGCCGAUUGAUGUAAUUCUCUUUUGACAAUUUAGCGUUUGCUUUCAAUUCCUAAUCAUUUUGCCAGGGCUACAUGAAGUAAAGCAGCGUAACAGAAGCGGGCGCAAUAAUUACAGGCUCUUGAAUACGAGAUUUUUUGCGCAUAAUAUGCUAAAUGACCCUGAUUUUUUUAUUAUUACGCGGAAAACUAAUACGUGUGACUAAACUAAUUUUAUUAUACACCAAACAACCCAUUUAUAACCCAAAUAGACACCGCAUCAAUGAGAAAAGCACAGCAUUUAUUAGAGGGAGGAAAAUUGGUAAGUGUCCUGGUUUUGAGGACUCAGAGGUUGGAAUGUUUGCAGAUUCCUCCCUGAAACGGAUUAUCCCAGAGCCUCGCGUUCCUUCCUGAGGAUCGCAGACUCGGGGAAUGAGAUUGGGUGGCCAACCAUGCAGCAAUAUUGUUGGACAACCGUGCAGCAAUAUUAUCGUUUAAAACGAUAAGAAGCAAAGUAGUGACAAGAGUAGUGAUGUUGUGAAGUAAAUAGUACUUGAUAUUUGCUGUGUUGGUGUAAUGUGAAUAAGAUGCUUGUGUGAUAUUACUCUGAGUGUAUAUCCACACCGGGCAGGCUUGACCAGGCAUAUUUUUCACCGUGGCCAGGCAUAUUUUUCAAGCCUGCCCGGUGUGGAUAUACACUCAGACAUGACACAAGCAUAUUAAAUAGUGCUUGUAAACAAUAUCAAGAUUUUGUUACCAUCUCACUCAAUUGAAUAAUAGUUGAAUUGAAAUAUUGUGCAUUGAAAUUAUUGAGUGGAAAUUCAUAUACAUUUAUAAUUAGACCUAACCUUACCUGGAACAGCUGCGGAAAAUGCAACUUUAGGUCCCUGGUAGGAAUUGAACCCUGUGGUUCUGGUUCAGCGCUAUGUAUAAAUUUAUAUAUCUAUAUAUAUAUAUAUGUAUAUAUAUAUAUAUAUAUAUAUAUGUACUGUAUAUAAAUUUCCACUUGAUAAUUUCCAUCUACAAUAUCUUUCAACUAUUUUUUAAUUGAGUGAGAUGCCAACAAAAUAUUGAUAUUUAUAUAUAAAAUAUUGAUAUAUAUACAUGAACUUGUAGUUAGAGCUCGACAACUGGCCUCUGUAGCUCAGUUGGUUAGAGUGCUGCAACGGAAAUGCAGGGUCACACGUUCAAUUCCUGCCAGGGUCCUAAAGUUUUCACAACUACUGUAUUCCUGGUUAGGUCUAAUAAAUAUAUAUACUGUAAAUUUCCACUCAAUAAUUUCCAUCUACAAGACAUGUAAACAAUAGCACUACUUUCUACCACAAAAUUUCACUCCUUUCAAUUUUGUUGUUGCCAUCUAGUUUCCCCUUUGCAGUUCGGAACCCAAGAAUGGGGUGUACAAGUUCCGGACGCGUCUUGUCAGUGUAAUUAAUCGUUAUAACCAAAAAAUCUGACGAUGUCUCUAGUUAACCCAUUGAGCCACAAUGCGCCCCAGUGCGCCAUACUUUUUUUUUACUUGUCUAACACCAGACAAUUUUACUUGUCAAUGGGGGAAGCUCUGCAGCUAAUUAAUGGGUUAAGUAUGAUGCCUUGAAUUAUGGCACAUCUUCAUCUUGGCUGUUUCACUUGGGAAUUUUCAUUGCAAAAUUUUUCCAGUUAAUCAAGGCUGUAAUUGAAUCAUUGAUGAAUAUAGAUGCUCCUAAAUUGGAAUUUUUCCUACAUGAUAAGUUUCUUACAUAAAUCCAAGAUCAAUUUUCCAUUUGAACCACUAUUCGCACUCUUCUGAAUUCUGGUGCUGUAGUUUUUAUUUUUUAAGAUCCACAGAUCCAGUCUAUGUAUCACUCCCUGCGAUUCCGGUACAGUGUUCUAACCAAUUGAGCUACAGUUCCAUGUAACUGCAAGUUCAAGUAAAUAUACUAAGGUGAUGUCUGGUAAGGCAUACAUAUUAUAUGGAGUAUCAUGGAUAAAUAUCAAGAUCUGGCAUCUCACUUGAUUGAACUUAUAAAUGUUGAAGUUGCAUGUGAAAGCAUCAUUGGUCUCAAGCUCAGUGGUCAGAGUGCUGCACCAGAACUACAGGCUUGAUUCCUACAUUGUGGGUCUAAAAUACAGUAUGUUGCUUAAAGUUUGUAAUUCAAUCAAUCAAUAUUUAUUUAGCCACAUAUAAUAUUACAGAACAUACAGAAAAUGGUUAGUAUGUUUCUAUGGAGAAUAUAGCAAGUAAUAUAUUAUUAAUGGUAAGGCGACAUGUAGAAACCAUCAGGCUUGUUUAACGGAUGCUUCCUUCAGUGUCAAGAGAAAAAGGAAGCAACACGCAACAACAAAAUCAACUAUGCAUUCAGUCAGUAAAUAUAUUUUUGAUUCCAUUCCAGAAGCAAUUAAAGUCUCUGUCAGAUAUAAAUUUCCUGGAAGCAAAUUCCACAGUUUAGGACCUAGCUUGGAAAAGUAUUGUGUUUUGUUGUAGUUUUACAUGAAUGUAUUUGAUAUAAAUAGCAUUUCUUGCAUUAUAACUAUGAAUUCCGUCACUUGUGCUGAACAAAUGAAGGAAAGAAGGAGGAAGUAACUGUUUAUGAUAAAGAUGCACGAAUUUACUCUACAUGGACGAAUUUCCUGGGGGGCUGCAGGGGAGUGCGCACUCCUCAAAAUUAUUUUGCACCCCCCCAAAAAAAAUUAUUUCCCACCCCACCCAGAGCAAUUUGGACACCCCCCCCAAAAAAAUCUCAUUGGGACAAAUGACAGAUUUUGAAUUAAGACUAUAAACAACCCCCCGAGCAAAAUAUAAAAAUCCGUCUAUGUGAAUUUAGCGAUGUAGAACGAGUUGAUCUUAUAAAUGUCAAGUAUAUUCAACCUGUCAAAAAGAGGAGCAGUAUGUGAAAGAAAGUUGGAAUAAUUGGUCAUGCAAAAUUUCCACCAUAACCCUUCAACACAUAUACAGUAUUAUUAUAUGGCUUUUCAAGCGGUCCGCAAAAACCCAUAUCCGGACCGUGGUCCGUAUUUUCCGUAUCUAGCCCGGUGUCCCGGAUGUCGUUUAUCUGGCGGGAAAUUUUUGCUUUGCAAACAGAAAAAAAUUUUGCUUUUUAAUUUUCCAAUUGUGUGUCAUUAAUACUUACAGAUAAAAAUUUCAAACAACCAAAUUGUUUUUGAUUGAGCAUGCAUGCAUACCGUAUAUUGUUACCCAGUGAAACUGAUGAUAGCCGAUUUAAUUCGCGCGAAAAGCAUAUGCUCACAGACUCAGUUCAGCCAUACCGAUUAUUGACCUUGCUUGUUCUAUCUGUACUGUGAAAUAUCAGACCUCUGUUUUUUUGCAUGGACCUUGCUCCUUCGUCGCUCGGUCCAUACUAAAAAACCUCGGUCUGAUAUUUCACAGUACAGACCUCACGCUCGGUCAAUAAGCCGUUAGUAUAUAAUACAGUCCUUAAUGGUAGGAUGAGCAUGGGGAAAUACUAGUUCACAGGGCUGCCAAGAGGUUGACCGGGACCUGGGACAAAAUGCCUCCCUCUCUCUCGGUGGCCGUGCUAGUGUACAUCUCCAUUUAUUGGUCUGCAUUUGAUAAAAAUUAUGUAAUAUUAGCACUAACAGCGUCAAAUUAAUGUCCUUUUUGCUGCCAUACAGUAUACUGUAUGUUGAUAAUUUUACUAUGUACAGUUCCGCAAAAUACGGUCAUAAUAAGUUGCAGUCUGUUAAUGGUCCAUCAUUUAUUGAGUCUAAAGCGUAAAAGUGGAAAAGAGCCCUAACUCUUAUAUUUUAUUAAAAGAUCUAGGAACUGAGGACGACAAAGUUCGCAUAGAAAGCAGUUUACCACCGGAAGUGAAAGGGCAACUGCGAUGUUUUCUUGCGGUAACAGUGGAUGAAAUAAAAUGGCAAGUAAACAAUCAUCCCAAAGAUAUUCAAGUGUGUCUACAAUGGUGGGGAGAGACAGGAGAUGGAACCAUGUUUUGG